RNAcentral lists this ribosomal RNA (484 nucleotides) under uncultured bacterium. RNAcentral's name for it is "partial 16S ribosomal RNA". It matches the Rfam family "Bacterial small subunit ribosomal RNA", at positions 28 to 507 of the family's 1533-position model. The record is from RNAcentral.
AUUGAACGCUGGCGGCAUGCUUUACACAUGCAAGUCGAACGGCAGCGCGGGCUUCUUCCUUUCGGCGAGUGGCGAACGGGUGAGUAAUGCAUCGGAACGUGCCCAGUAGUGGGGGAUAGGCCGGCGAAAGCCGGAUUAAUACCGCAUACGACCUGAGGGUGAAAGCGGGGGUCCGAAAGGCCUCGCGCUAUUUGAGCGGCCGAUGUCGGGUUGGCUAGUUGGUGGGGUAGAGGCUUACCAAGGCGACGAUCCGUAGCUGGUCUGAGAGGACGACCAGCCACACUGGGACUGAGACACGGCCCAGCCUCCUACGGGAGGAAGCAGUGGGGAAUUUUGGCCAAUGGGGGCAACCCUGCUCCAGCCAUGCCGCGUGCGGGAAGAAGGCUUUCGGGUUGUAAACCGCUUUUGUUCGGGAAGAAAUCCUCUGGGCUAAUACCCCGGGGGGAUGACGGUACCGGACGAAUAAGCACCGGCUAACUACGUG